RNAcentral lists this ribosomal RNA (545 nucleotides) under Diaporthe sp. C25-19. Its description in RNAcentral is "eukaryotic LSU rRNA". The stretch from base 173 to 326 matches the Rfam family "5.8S ribosomal RNA". The record is from RNAcentral. Lineage: Eukaryota; Fungi; Ascomycota; Sordariomycetes; Diaporthales; Diaporthaceae.
GGGAAGCUAUCGGCGCACCCCCCAACCCUUUGUGAACUUAUACCUAUUGUUGCCUCGGCGUCAGGCCGGCCUCUUCACUGAGGCCCCCCGGAGACGGGGAGCAGCCCGCCGGCGGCCAACUAAACUCUUGUUUCUAUAGUGAAUCUCUGAGUAAAAAACAUAAAUGAAUCAAAACUUUCAACAACGGAUCUCUUGGUUCUGGCAUCGAUGAAGAACGCAGCGAAAUGCGAUAAGUAAUGUGAAUUGCAGAAUUCAGUGAAUCAUCGAAUCUUUGAACGCACAUUGCGCCCCCUGGUAUUCCGGGGGGCAUGCCUGUUCGAGCGUCAUUUCAACCCUCAAGCCUGGCUUGGUGAUGGGGCACUGCUUCGAGAGGAGCAGGCCCUGAAAUUCAGUGGCGAGCUCGCCAGGACCCCGAGCGUAGUAGUUAUAUCUCGCUUUGGAAGGCCCUGGCGGUGCCCUGCCGUUAAACCCCCAACUUCUGAAAAUUUGACCUCGGAUCAGGUAGGAAUACCCGCUGAACUUAAGCAUAUCAAUAAGCGGAGGAA